GCGAACGGGUGAGUAACACGUGGGUAACCUGCCCAUCAGAAGGGGAUAACACUUGGAAACAGGUGCUAAUACCGUAUAACACUAUUUUCCGCAUGGAAGAAAGUUGAAAGGCGCUUUUGCGUCACUGAUGGAUGGACCCGCGGUGCAUUAGCUAGUUGGUGAGGUAACGGCUCACCAAGGCCACGAUGCAUAGCCGACCUGAGAGGGUGAUCGGCCACACUGGGACUGAGACACGGCCCAGACUCCUACGGGAGGCAGCAGUAGGGAAUCUUCGGCAAUGGACGAAAGUCUGACCGAGCAACGCCGCGUGAGUGAAGAAGGUUUUCGGAUCGUAAAACUCUGUUGUUAGAGAAGAACAAGGAUGAGAGUAGAACGUUCAUCCCUUGACGGUAUCUAACCAGAAAGCCACGGCUAACUACGUGCCAGCAGCCGCGGUAAUACGUAGGUGGCAAGCGUUGUCCGGAUUUAUUGGGCGUAAAGCGAGCGCAGGCGGUUUCUUAAGUCUGAUGUGAAAGCCCCCGGCUCAACCGGGGAGGGUCAUUGGAAACUGGGAGACUUGAGUGCAGAAGAGGAGAGUGGAAUUCCAUGUGUAGCGGUGAAAUGCGUAGAUAUAUGGAGGAACACCAGUGGCGAAGGCGGCUCUCUGGUCUGUAACUGACGCUGAGGCUCGAAAGCGUGGGGAGCGAACAGGAUUAGAUACCCUGGUAGUCCACGCCGUAAACGAUGAGUGCUAAGUGUUGGAGGGUUUCCGCCCUUCAGU
RNAcentral lists this ribosomal RNA (760 nucleotides) under uncultured bacterium. RNAcentral describes it as "bacterial SSU rRNA". It matches the Rfam family "Bacterial small subunit ribosomal RNA", at positions 98 to 844 of the family's 1533-position model. The record is from RNAcentral.